Molecule: ribosomal RNA, 791 nt
Filed under: uncultured Gammaproteobacteria bacterium
Lineage: Bacteria; Pseudomonadati; Pseudomonadota; Gammaproteobacteria
Description: bacterial SSU rRNA
Rfam family: Bacterial small subunit ribosomal RNA
Source: RNAcentral
AGAGUUUGAUCAUGGCUCAGAUUGAACGCUGGCGGCAGGCCUAACACAUGCAAGUCGAGCGGCAGCGCGGGGCAACCUGGCGGCGAGCGGCGGACGGGUGAGUAACGCGUAGGAAUCUACCCAGUAGCGGGGGAUAGCCCGGGGAAACUCGGAUUAAUACCGCAUACGCCCUAAGGGGGAAAGCAGGGGAUCGUAAGACCUUGCAUUAUUGGAAGAGCCUGCGUUGGAUUAGCUAGUUGGUAGGGUAAAGGCCUACCAAGGCGACGAUCCAUAACUGGUCUGAGAGGAUGAUCAGUCACACCGGAACUGAGACACAGUCCGGACUCCUACGGGAGGCAGCAGUGGGGAAUAUUGGACAAUGGGGGCAACCCUGAUCCAGCCAUGCCGCGUGUGUGAAGAAGGCCUUCGGGUUGUAAAGCACUUUAAGUGGGGAGAAAGGUUCGCUGGCUAAUACCCAGCGGAAUUGAUGCUACCCACAGAAUAAGCACCGGCUAACUCUGUGCCAGCAGCCGCGGUAAUACAGAGGGUGCAAGCGUUAAUCGGAAUUACUGGGCGUAAAGGGCGCGUAGGCGGCGUGUCAAGUCAAUUGUGAAAUCUCCGAGCUUAACUCGGAACGGUCAAUUGAUACUGAUGUGCUAGAGUGCAGAAGGGGCAAUCGGAAUUCUUGGUGUAGCGGUGAAAUGCGUAGAUAUCAAGAGGAACACCUGAGGUGAAGACGGGUUGCUGGGCUGACACUGACGCUGAGGCGCGAAAGCUAGGGUAGCAAACGGGAUUAGAUACCCCGGUAGUCC